Non-coding RNA from Styela clava, 9387 nucleotides. Lineage: Eukaryota; Metazoa; Chordata; Ascidiacea; Stolidobranchia; Styelidae. The record is from RefSeq and is a predicted model, not a curated record.
UUGUUUCAGAUUUAAUAAAUAUAUGUGUACUGUAUAUAAAAUUUCAUAAAGUUCUGUGUAUUCGAAGAGAUAACAUAGCUACAAGAACACUGAAGACUCCGAAUAACUAAAAUGAAAGCGUGAAAGAUCUCGAAACGAACAAACGAAAAGCCUCGAGACCGUGAAUUUGCCAUCUUCGUCUCGAUAUCAUCUCUGCCUUUGGAUGCAUUAUAAAAUAUUUUGCUCAAGAAGACCUUGGCAUCGUCUUGAAACAGACGAAGAAAAUCGCGUUAAAUUCUAACGCACAAAACGGGCGACGGCAUCAACCCGUAUUUGGAGAAUGCUCGAAAAAUAUCAAUUUGAUGUAUUAACUUCUUAUCAACGUAAAAUCGACGUAAAAAUUGAACGUCCAAAAGGACAGCCGACGACACCAACCAGCUAAGAUCUUCUUUACGUGGCCCGCCCGAGACUUGCAUUCCAAUACUUAUGAGAACAGAACUAUCGGCAAUUUCGAGAAUGUGCUACGUAAUAACGUUAUUCUUGGAUGAAAACUCGUCUGACGUCAAGGAUUCACAAAAAAGCAAGAUUAAUUAUUAAUGGCGGAAUGGGACAAUUACGGGUUGAGAAUAAUCAUCGAAAAUGCCUCUAGAGAAGCAUUGUUUAGUGAAGCAGAGGCUGUUCGAAUGGCCGAUCUCUCGAAAGACAUCGGAAUGAACAAAUUACAAACAAUCGCUCAUCCCAAACGGCCUCUGCCGUGGGAAAGAUUUGUUUAUUUUUACAUGAACUAUGUAAAUCGGCAUUACGGAAAACACCUGACACUACGCCCACAUCGCCAUCUUGGGAUGUUUUUUUUUAAAUAAAUGACGUUGUGUAGGACAAAACUCAGCAAGCAACUAACAGAUCAUCGCUUCCGAACACAACUUCGAGUUGCCAAAAAAUUACACAAUUUUGAACAUCAAGAAUUACAAAUGAUCUAUCCUUCAGCAUCUCGCACUGCUAUGAGAAGAUAUUUCAUGAAAAAUGACGUUGAGCAGAAGAAAAUUCAGCUAACAGCUGAUCGCUUGCAAUCUGAACUUGUGAUUUGAUGAAAAAUUGCUCAGCUCUUGAACACUAAGAAUAAUAAAACCCUCUAAUUCGGCAUCACGUACUGCGGCGAGCCGUAAAAAAAACGCUUUGCAGAACAAAAUUCAGAUAACAGAUCAACAUUUGCAAACACGAGUUGCCGUAAAUUACAACUCUUGAACAUUAAGAAUGAUGGUGAUCUUUCCUUCGUGAUCACGUACUGCUCUUAGCAGCUUGAACAAAUAACGCUGUGCAGAAGAAAAUUCAGCAUCAGAUAAUCACUUGCAAACUCAACUUAGAGUUGCCAACAGAUAACUCAUGAACUUUAAAGACUGACAGUCAUCUCUCCUUCGUGAUCACGUACUGCUCUUAGCAGCUUGAACAAAUAACGCUGUGCAGAAGAAAAUUCAGCAUCAGAUAAUCACUUGCAAACUCAACUUAGAGUUGCCAACAGAUAACUCAUGAACUUUAAAGACUGACCGUCAUCUCUCCUUAGUGAUCACGUACUGCUCUUAGCAGCUUGAACAAAUAACGCUGUGCAGAAUAUUACAAAAUCAACUACAAGUUGAUAAAAACUUUCAAUGACUGUAGGCCCGCCCAAGAAUCUCCAUUCGUUUACGUUAGACAGUUACGUUAGACAGUUAGAGACCCUGAUCUUUUUGUACGCACACUUUAUGUAGAAUCAGGGCCAUCGGGCGAAGAGAGAAGUGCGAUGCGAGCGAAGAUGUGAAGAUUGGACGCUUCGCUAGAGGAUCCUCACUUGUAUGGUACUAGAAAUCUUUUUUCGUCUGUCGGUUCAUUAGUUAGACAGCAAGGAAUGACUAGAUAUAGGGUUCGACAGACAAAUCUAGUCAGGGAUUUAAUGCUGGAGAAUGUCACUUUUCUUCAGGCAUUCUUGAUAGAAUGCAUUCUGGCAUGCAAUGAAAAUCUUUGCAAUGAGUGGAUUAUUCUAUGCUAAUAAUAAUAGCACCGAUAAUAGCUCUUCAUGGGAGUUUUAUAAUACGUGGAUACGUUUAAUACUUGUGGGCGUUUAUCGCCAGUUUGAUAUAUUGAUCCACUAUAUAUGGCCUUGGACGAAUUGUCACAAUUUGUCGAUGCCAGUCUUGAAUACUAAUUGAGAUAGGGAAAUAACCAUUUUUUUCUUUUAAAGGGAAAUAAUCAUUUUUUUUUUCAAAUAAUAAUGCCGAAACCUUUCUAUGAUUUAUCAGUUUUGAGAAAGAAAAAAUGCUCCGUGAAUUUGACUGACCAAAUUGCUAAAAGAAAGGUUUCGGUUAGGCUUAAAUACUGCACUGUGAAUUAUAUUUUUAGUUAGAUAGGGUCUUAGGUUUUUAAUAUUAUUAUCACUAAGGGAAUAAGCUCUAAGUCUCCUUAAUUGAAUCGGCCAUCACUUAUUCACAAAAUGAGGAAGCAGAGCUUCUUGUAUUCAUUCACUCUUAUUUGGUCGAGACUUGGAGCUUUUUCCCACCAUGCAUGCUAGGCUAUAGCACAGACGCCCCUCAAAUUGAGGGCCAGAAGCAGACGAAAGACUUCGGAAGGUACAUUAGAUCCUCUGGUGCAAUAACGGCGAUACUUUCAGAUUCUGUAUAUUUUAACUGAAUUAAAUAGGUUUGAAAUGCUAUUUCAAACUCAUUCGUUCGGUUGCAUUGAAAUUUUGAUUCAAUAUGAGGUCUUUAGUCGUUAUUGCACUUAGAGGCCAAGUCUUGGUUUAUUAUUGACUAUGGAUUCUGUCCAUUGAAGCCAAGAGUCAAUGUUGCCAAGCCCGGUAGCACUAAGCUACUGGUAAGGUAGAUAGACUAGGAAAAUCGUAGUUGAUGACUUUGCGUUGAGCGUACGAGAGUUAUAUAAUUUUCACUUACGACUUCGACAAUAUUUGCAAACUUUAGAGUUUAGACCAAUUGUGCCCCAAAGCAAAGUCGUCUGCUAUGCAUUGUAGAAGUUGCCUUAGGUUUUCGGCAACUUAGGGUUUUGUAGGCCGGUCAGCUUUCAGCUUUAUUGAGUUUAGGACGGCAUUUAUAAACGGACUCAAGACUGCAAUAUUUGAGUCGCUGUUGUAAAUGUAGGGGGAGCAAACGUCCGCGCUGCGACCUAGAUAGCCUAAACCCACGGGUGCUUGCACCAUUUAGUAAGAUUGUGUCCGCGCAGAAUUCGAUACAGAUUUGGUUAGUAAAAGCUGACCUUAGGCAGGUUAGAAUAUUGUAGGGAGCGUUCCGAGUUUUGCAAUUUUAAACCAGUUCGGCGCUAACUAGACUUCGUAAAACUUGGGGCAAAUUUCGUAUCGCUGGGAUGUUCAGGCGGGUGGUUGGGACUGUUGAAUAGUUAGUUUUUUUAGUUAGGGAUAGAUAGGGUUAAGGGUGAAAGGUCAUUAUCACUCGCACUGUUGUCCUCUCUUGUGACUUCAAGUUGGGUUUGAUAAUUUACUUUUUCACGGUGAUAGGAAUGUGUAGGGAGAACAUCAACAAUCGUGUAACGGUUCUCAGAUAUCUUGUCUGGGAAUUGAAACUCUUUUUCUUCCUAUUGACUUUAAGGCCUCAGAUUUACUGUUGUACAUAUUUUGUUUGUGUACUAUGAUUUUGCUUUGUGGCGAAACCAUAUUUAUAUUUUAUAAUGUCGUGCAGUCAAGUGCAAGGCAUUUGUGUUUUUUAUGGUUAUUUGCCUUUCGGCAAAAAUCAUAAUCCUGUACCACGAUGUCGUGCAAAUAUGCUGCAAGGCAUUCAUACAUGUUUAUGUACCACAAUGUCGCGCAAAUCCAAUGCGAGACAUUCGUACAUUUUUUUGUUUCCCCAUGCUUAUUCACACACCAUAUUGUCGUGCAGUCAAAUGCAAGACAUUAUCAUGUAGUGCCGUGCAAAAUAUUGUACGGCAUUACCUAUUUGCUACAUUUUUUCGUCUUCGGUUUUUUACACAAUUUUUUCUAGAGUUGUAUUUGUUACUCUUUUUGCUUUUGUAAAAUCCCACAUUUAAUGAACUAACACUGUUCUCAUAUUUUCAGAUAUCAACCAAAGAAGAUGGAUAUUAGUUAUUUUCAAUGGUAUUUGCGAAACAUGGACACAUUUCGGCCAAUUCUCAGAAAUAAUACACCUACAUGUAGUGCGUGUAAAUUAUUGUACGGCAUUGCUUAUUUGCUACAUCUUUGUUAAUUACAUAUCUCUCAUAUUUGUGCUACUAACCUCUUCAUUUUGUUGCAAUGUACUUUUGUUUAAAUUGUCAUUUCUUAUACUAAAACUGUUCUCAUAUUUUCAGAUAUCAACCAAAGGAGAUGGAUAUUAUAUAUUUUCUAAUCGAUGAUUUUUGAUAAAAUAUCAACUCAAUUCGGCAAAUUAAUACCCUCCCCCUACUACCCAGUCCAUUUAAAUAAUUAAUACCAAUUUAUUUGCAGUUGGUUUCAUAUUUUUUUCCUAAUUAUUAUUCCAAUUCGGCUAAUUUAUAUAUAAACUCAACAAUUUUUUCUUAAUCUAAAGUCAAAUUUUUACAGAUCCACUUCAAAUCGUCCAAUGUUUGUCGAACAAAAGAAUAACAACACAAAUAAUUGUUAUUUCCUAGUUUGGAGUUCCUUUUAAACUGGACCUAAUUAUUUGAUUCGGAGGAAAUUAAACUAUAUUCCCUCAUCCCAGUAUUAAAUUUGAUUAAAUUGCAACCGGCGCAUUGAAGCCGGUCGUUGCUUUAAAUCAAAAUCCCAUCAAAACGAGUUUUGACAUAUUGUAUGGGAUUUGGCAUAUUGUAUUAAGAGUUUCAUUUUGCCACUAAUACGGUAAGAGCUACCUUCAAAACCUUAAAAGUAUUAUCUACGAUUCCAUUAGUUUUCAAUUUUGGUGUAUAAUCAAUUAGUACCCAAGAUCUACAUGUAACUAAAAUUUAUAUGUAGAUUUGUUUUCCCAAAUAAAAUGAAAAUAAUUGUCCUUCUUACCCUCCUAAAUCUGGCCUCAACCGAGCCAUUUUGCAUAGUUAUUUUCUGUUUAAAAAAAAUUUAAAUGACCGUAAGCCAUUACCAAAAACUCCACUAAUGCUAUUGAGCUACGUAUAAAGAUUCAGUUGUAUUGUAGUUGGAGGUGGGAAUUGCAGUGUAAUGAGAAGGUAAUCGAACAGUCAGAUGGUCAAGUUGCAGAUUUUAAGAAGUUGUGUGUUCACAAGAGUUUUUUUUAGAAGUGGGUUAAUGACAGUACGUAGUUUAUAUUUACGCUCUACCCGAAAUAGCUUAGCACUGCAUAACAUAUGUAACUUUAGCACCGAUUAAAGUUAAGGGUAAAGGGUUAAAUAAAAUUCUGUUAUCUAUCAGCGACACCCGUGAUAAAGCCUAACAUUAAUACAGGAAAGUGAGGAUAGCAUCUAGCGACCCGAAAAGGUGAAAGUGGUGAUCGGUAAUCAUUGAGCGAACUGCAAGCAGGGAGUCAAAUUUGAAACGGAGAAUAUUUGUCUGUGUUUAUGCUGUAUCUGUUGCUAGUGCUCUCCAUAGCAUUGACACUGCAUAAGCUUUUUGUUGAUUGUGUAACAUAUAGAAGCAAACAUUGCUAGAAAUGUAGAAGCAAACAUUGCUAGAAAUGAGAACUUAUUCUAACACAAAAAAAAAUAAAAAAGUCGCAAGUUUCAACAAGUAUUAUAGCAAAUAAGAACAUUAAUAUAAAGUGGGUGGUGGGCUGGCAGUCAAUUUCAAAGGCCGGAAUAUUGCGGCAAUAUUAAACCAGUCUAAACAUAUCUGGGGUCCUAAUGUAGACCACAUUUGAAGGCCAAAAUUUGAAGGUAAAAUGAAAACAAAAAUGGACAGCUGUAAUCUGACUUAACUUCAAUUUUGAAACUUUAUUAUUUGUUGUUUGUGUUUGAGCUUUAUUUAAAAGGCAAUUUCAAUUUCACUUUUUUGUAUACAAUGGGGAGUCCGUCGAGUCAAUUUCAGUUAAUCGAUGAAUUUUCUUGGCGAAUGGAUUCAAAGUUGUAUUUGGUUGAUUAUAUAUUGCCCUGUUCAGAUAUGAAACACGUUUGCUGCCAAUAGAUGAACUAGAAUUUGAUACGAAAGACUAAAUCUAAAUGAACAUGCGGGCAAUGUCCGAAGAAAAUUUUUUGUACGAGGCCGAUGUUAUACUAAUUUAUUAUACUACUAUAACGCUAUUGUUAUAGUGAAGGAAGUAAAGCCAUUAUUCCUUGGUUAGGUGGUUUAGCAGAAGCUUUGUGUAGCGGAUUAGUAUCACCCCAUAGGCAGUUAAGAUUCGGAAAAACAUUAGUCUCCACUUUGGAAGAUAGGUUUGUGCUGUGAUGCGGUUUCGUUGCUUAUAAAAAUGUUUUGAAUUGUCAAAUGAAGCAUCUACAUUUCAAGGUCGGCUAUGCGGGACAAUCGUGGUGAUAUCCAAUCCUUAGAACACGAAUAUUUUUUUCAGUUGCGUGAAGUUAAUUCGUUGUGUUUGGUAAAUGGUUCAGUGUUCCCCUUCUCACCAGUGUUUCAUUUAGUGAAAUAGUUCGGUCGGUAUAUACGGAAAACAUGAGGACUACAAUUCUGGAGAAAAUAAAGACCGAGGUACCUGGCGUGGAGAGGUCGAAAUCGGACAGUCGCUAGGAAAUUUCGGGAUACAACACAAAGGUAGAGAUGUGCGAGAAAAUCUACUGUACGAUGACGAUGGACUGAAGCUUGCUUAGUCUCUGAAAAAGGUCUUUUAUACUUCAUCCUUUCAUUGAUUAAGAUAAGCAGGAAACAUAGCAAUUAAUAUGUAAGCAAGAAGUUUAGCAAAUCACGUUAGCAGAAAACAUAUCAAUUAAUAUGUAAGCAAGAAGUUUAGCAAAUCACGUUAGCGAUAGCAGCAGCUCAUCAGCGUCCAUGAAGCAUUUAAAGUUAGAGAGGAUCUGGUGAUCCAUUUUCAAGAACACAAAUCUCUUUACACUUACAUGAAGAAUAACUGAAUUUCAUCAAAGAAACUGAUUUUCGUGUUUUCAUUUUGUUUCAUUAGUUGGAAGUAGUUAUCUGGACUGGCAGAUUGAAAUGACUGUAUGGUAAGAAGCGAAAAAAUGGAAAGUUCCAGACGUAGACGACACAAAGCAUAUAUUUAUAGUCAAAUUAAUGGUACCAGCUGUUAUUUUGUUCAAGGUUCAGAUUUGAGGAGAAGAAGCUUAUUACAUUUUUAAGGGUUCGAUGCAGGCCCGAACGCAAUUCAACAUCAUCUUCGAAAAUUCAACGGUCCUGGAAUCCCGGUUGAAGUGAAUCUUUUAUAGACGCUGUCACAUCUUCUGCAAAGAAAAGUUUUAACCUUUUCGGUUCAGCAGAUUGUUUUCAACGAAUACUCAAAAAUGAGUCUACUUAUUUGGAUGAGCUGUGUGCAAAUGGAAGCUGGUUUCUCGUCUAGGCAAGACCACAAAAUGGCAAAGUGGGGUUUUAUGAUCCCCGGUAAUACGAUAUCGAAGGAUUCGUAAUCUCUAUUUCGCUCGUGCAAUUUGUUUUAAAGGCUCGCAACUUUCAUUAGUGAUUCAUCCAAUGCCCGAAUUAUUGGUUUGUCAAGCACGAAGACUUAGUGCAUUGAAUCGGUGUAAUGAACUUUUUAUUCCAAUUUGUGUUAAAAUUGGAAUAAAACAUGCAAUGCCAGAUCAUAGGAUUGAAGACUUUUUCCAAUGAACUAAAUUUUACAUAUUCGAGAUCACCGAUAAAUCUGACAUUUCCAAUGGCAUAACUUUGGGCGAGUGGCUGAACGAGUCGAUGUAGUUUUGGGUCUCAAUACAACAACAACCGCAGUUGACAAAACCUACCCGAACGCCCGUUUUUGUCCAUCAUAAAGCCAUUCCAAGAAGACUGGAAUGCGAUAUUCAAUAAGCAGAUUUGAAGUCCAAACGUUUCUACCAUGUGAUGCUCAUGCGUAAAAUCACCUUCAAAGAAAAGUGAAGCACUUAACAAGAAACGGAUUGGUGUUAAUGAUUAUAAAUAAACUAUGCAUUCACCAAACAUAAUACUAUAAACUGUUUUUAGAAUUAUUAGUUUAAUACUGACCAGAUUAGUGGUUACGCCAUAUUCCGUUUUUUAAGUGUUCUAUUUUUCGAUCUGUAUUCGAUGAAAGUAUUAAAAAAAUUUUUUUGAUAAUUAAUAGCUUAUUACUAAACAGAUCAAACUAAAUAUGCAAACUGGCUGCCUUGAGCCCUAACGUGUUUAAGUUUUGUUAUUGUAUUAGUAUCAUCUUCAGUGCCCCCAGUGCCACGUGUCUAUUAAACGUGGUAAAAUAACGUAUCUUUCAAUUUUCUCAGGUUAGAGAACAUCGGCGAUUUGAUUAUUGUAAAAGGAUUGUAACGUCAUGCCACUAUAUGUACAGCGUUCUCGGUAGCCUGACUUGGAUGCCCCUCAAAUGACGAUUUGGUCUAUUUUAUUAAUCCCUUCAACCUAACUAUCGAUAUAAAUAUAAGAAUUUGUUUGCAUACAAUUACCAAGCUAAUUGUGAGAUUACUAGAACUGAUUUUUCAGUGAAUAACCGCCUGAUUUAUAUAUUUACUUUGUUUAUCAUGAAUGAAAUUAGCAUUGUUAGAUUCACAAUCAUAGGGAAAAUUUGGAUGAAUGAAUGCUUUGGUGUCCUAAUAUUAAUGCAAAGUAAUUUUGAUGUCUUUUCAUUUUCAUAAGGUGCACCAGCAGAAAAGCCGAAGCGUUUUAAGCAAGGGUGCCAUCGAAGAAAAAUCAACCCAGCGUACUUGUAGAGAAGAGGUCGGAAAGUGCUGGCAAAAGCGGAGCGGAAAUUGUACUUAGUUAUUUAGAUCUAAAUGAGCGUGCACUUUUAAUAUUGCAUGUUGAUAUUCUCACGAGUGUCUGAUAAUUGCAUGCCUAGUGCCCCCAAAUUGGGGGACUGAAGCGGACGAAAGAACUCUGAGUCAAACCAUGCCAAGGUUCUAGAAGGAGGAGUCAAACCAUGCCAAGGUUCUAGAAGGAGAAAAAGUAGUAGACUUGCAUAGUUUCUUUUUAAUUUGAGUGUUAGGUUGAUGCAUGCCUUUUGCCCUCCUAAUUGGGGAGCGAAAGUUAAACGGAAGAAACUCGUUGUGUCAAGAAACCAUGUGUGUGAACUUUUUAUAUUCUUUUGAAUUGCGUUGUCUGGUAAUUGCAUGAUAUCUAGUAAACAGUUAUGCAUGUGCAUGCUAGGUUAAUCACCUGCGCGACAGAUGAGAAGACUAAAUGGGCCGCAGAAAGUCGAACGUGAUCACUAACAACUCACUUUGGUAUCUGAUUGAGAUCACGUUGAGUAAGUGAGAUCGCUUACCAAAGUUGUUAAAAGAAUAAUACCCGGGAACACUUUUGUAGUUUUAUGUGUUUGCCUUUAUUUUAUAUGGUUUACUAAGAACUGGUAGAACAAUUAAAGCACACUCAAAACUCUGUUUAUAUGUCACAUUUAAACAAUCUUGUUA